UAGCUACUCCAUCCAUCCGGAAAUACUUGUCAUCAAAAUGGAUAAAAGGAGGUGUAUCUAGACGUAUUUUAAUUCUAAAUACAUCUCUUUUUAUCCAUUUUGAUGACAAAUAUUUUCGGACGGAGGGAGUACUUU
Triticum aestivum (bread wheat) is the source of this 135-nucleotide non-coding RNA. Lineage: Eukaryota; Viridiplantae; Streptophyta; Magnoliopsida; Poales; Poaceae. The record is from Rfam.